UACGGAGGAUCCAAGCGUUAUCCGGAUUUAUUGGGUUUAAAGGGUGCGUAGGCGGCCUGUUAAGUCAGGGGUGAAAGACGGUAGCUCAACUAUCGCAGUGCCCUUGAUACUGAUGGGCUUGAAUUGACUAGAGGUAGGCGGAAUGUGACAAGUAGCGGUGAAAUGCAUAGAUAUGUCACAGAACACCGAUUGCGAAGGCAGCUUACUAUGGUCUUAUUGACGCUGAGGCACGAAAGCUAGGGGAGCAAACAGG
RNAcentral lists this ribosomal RNA (253 nucleotides) under uncultured bacterium. Its description in RNAcentral is "partial 16S ribosomal RNA". It matches the Rfam family "Bacterial small subunit ribosomal RNA", at positions 524 to 776 of the family's 1533-position model. The record is from RNAcentral.